ACGGGUGAGUAAUACAUCGGAACGUAUCCUGGAGUGGGGGAUAGCCCGGCGAAAGCCGGAUUAAUACCGCAUACGCUCUGAGGAGGAAAGCGGGGGACCUUCGGGCCUCGCGCUCAAGGGGCGGCCGAUGGCGGAUUAGGUAGUUGGUGGGGUAAAGGCCUACCAAGCCGACGAUCCGUAGCUGGUCUGAGAGGACGACCAGCCACACUGGGACUGAGACACGGCCCAGACUCCUACGGGAGGCAGCAGUGGGGAAUUUUGGACAAUGGGGGCAACCCUGAUCCAGCAAUGCCGCGUGUGUGAAGAAGGCCUUCGGGUUGUAAAGCACUUUUGUCCGGAAAGAAAUCAUCGGGGCCAAUACCCCUGGUGGAUGACGGUACCGGAAGAAUAAGCACCGGCUAACUACGUGCCAGCAGCCGCGGUAAUACGUAGGGUGCGAGCGUUAAUCGGAAUUACUGGGCGUAAAGCGUGCGCAGGCGGUGCUGUAAGGCCGAUGUGAAAUCCCCGGGCUUAACCUGGGAACUGCAUUGGUGACUGCAGCGCUGGAGUAUGGCAGAGGGGGGUGGAAUUCCACGU
RNAcentral lists this ribosomal RNA (576 nucleotides) under uncultured bacterium. RNAcentral's name for it is "bacterial SSU rRNA". It matches the Rfam family "Bacterial small subunit ribosomal RNA", at positions 102 to 674 of the family's 1533-position model. The record is from RNAcentral.